CGGAGGAUCCAAGCGUUAUCCGGAUUUAUUGGGUUUAAAGGGUGCGUAGGCGGCUUAUUAAGUCAGGGGUGAAAGACGGUGGCUCAACCAUCGCAGUGCCCUUGAUACUGAUGAGCUUGAAUGGACUAGAGGUAGGCGGAAUGUGACAAGUAGCGGUGAAAUGCAUAGAUAUGUCACAGAACACCGAUUGCGAAGGCAGCUUACUAUGGUUUAAUUGACGCUGAGGCACGAAAGCGUGGGGAUCAAACAGGAUUAGAUACCCUGGUAGUCCACGCCCUAAACGAUGAAUACUCGCUGUUAGCGAUACACAGUUAGCGGCUAAGCGAAAGCGUUAAGUAUUCCACCUGGGGAGUACGCCCGCAAGGGUG
Molecule: ribosomal RNA, 368 nt
Filed under: uncultured organism
Description: bacterial SSU rRNA
Rfam family: Bacterial small subunit ribosomal RNA
Source: RNAcentral